ACUUUUGCAUAGAAUUGUAUUCAUCAGAAAUAUAAUCAAUUAUAAAGAAAAAAUUGUAUAUUACUUAUAAAAAUACUAACUUUUUUCUGUAACAUUUAUUUUUUUUUUGAAUGUUUGAAAAUCUAAUUUCUUAUUAUAUUUCUUAGUAAUGUUAUUAACUUUCCCUGUAGCUAACUAGGCAUAGUUUAGCUGAAGAAAGAAAAAGAAAGUUGACCAAGCAAGAGGUUUGUAUCUGGGUGUGUGUGGGUGUGAGUGAGUGAGCAGUCAGAUAAGAAGCUCUCAGGACCAGAAAACACCAUGUUUAUUACCCUGACCAUGAGCAUCAACAUGCAGCACUGUGUGUUUACAGCUUUCAUUUAUUCAUUCUUUGUAACGGCCUGGCCAGGGCUUAAAUUGGUCUACUAGUUUGUUUACAUUUUGCGAAACAGACCCAGAGCUAAAUUCAUUAGAAAAUUUCACAGGUAGGUACAAACUAAAAUAAUAACAGUGUGAGCAGGACUUGAAAAAAUAAAACAGUCCCAUGCACGUCUAUAGUUGAGAGCUGAGACCAAUUAUGAACUGGAGUGAUGUAGCUGAGUUUGAGGAGCUGUCACAGACAGAAUUCCUCACCAUGACAAGAGUGCUAAUUGAACAUUUUCUUUCAGUUUCACAUUCUCUGAAGGAGCAGCUUUUCCAGUUGGUCACCCCUGGCCAAAGAACAUAUUUUAUUGAUUUUUGAAGUAAACACACCAGAUAAAGGGAUUAACAUUCUCCUAAACAUUUUCUUUCAGUUUCACAUCCACUGAAAGUGCAGCCUUCAGGGAAAGUAAGGCUUUAAAUUAAACACACCCGACAAUGUUUAAACAUUGAGCUCCCUAUGACUCAGGGCUGAGGCUUACCGGCAGAAAGGGAUUUAUGUAAAAGGACAAGUUCCUCAAGCACUCAAGCAGCACAUUCACACACUCAGAAGUAGAGUGAUGAACACAGCACACAGUGAGGAAACACACCACCAUCAACAAAGAGGAGGUAAAGGCCAUUCUGUCAUUUGUUCUCAGCUCCUAAAAUGAACCAAACACAAAAGAAAUUAGGAGAAGCACAACUUCACCAUUUGACACAAGUCACAAGAAAAUAAGAAAACAAAAUAAUCACACAAAAGAUGGGGUAAGCAAUCUCCAUCGACCAUUCUCAGUGAAAUUCCGCCCAAUUCUCGAUUUUUCUCAGGAAUUGAUUUAGCUAAUGUAUUUUUCUCCAUUCCAGAACAUUCUGAUAGCAGAUACUGGUUCUCCUUUUGUUUUAAGGGAAAAAGAUAUCAGUGGAAAAGUGAUGCCCCAAGGGUUCACUGACUUGCCUAAUGUCUUUUCUACUCGUCUUUGCAGAACCUCAAGGCCUUCCAUCCACCUGCAGGAAAUCAAGGUCAACAACUGGACCCUGACGGAGUUAAAUCUCUCAGAGAACUACCAAAACCAGUGACUAAAAAAAACAAGUGAUGUCACUUUUGGGAGUGAUGAACUACUGCAGGAUUUGGAUUCCAGAGCAUCCCAGACUAUUCAAAGCCUUUCUGCUGGUACGUUCAUGAGAAGAAUGAAUUUAUGUCAUCAGUUCUUACAGAGCAACAUGGGGAUAGACGACGCCCCUUGGCCUACUAGGCAUUUGGACCCUGUAAUCUGGAGUCAU
Long non-coding RNA from Pangasianodon hypophthalmus (striped catfish), 1653 nucleotides. RefSeq lists it as uncharacterized. The record is from RefSeq and is a predicted model, not a curated record. The transcript is spliced from 3 exons. NCBI's taxonomy places the organism in Eukaryota, Metazoa, Chordata, Actinopteri, Siluriformes, Pangasiidae.